GACGAACGCUGGCGGCGUGCCUAAUACAUGCAAGUUGAGCGCUGAAGGUUGGUACUUGUACCAACUGGAUGAGCAGCGAACGGGUGAGUAACGCGUGGGGAAUCUGCCUUUGAGCGGGGGACAACAUUUGGAAACGAAUGCUAAUACCGCAUAAAAACUUUAAACACAAGUUUUAAGUUUGAAAGAUGCAAUUGCAUCACUCAAAGAUGAUCCCGCGUUGUAUUAGCUAGUUGGUGAGGUAAAGGCUCACCAAGGCGAUGAUACAUAGCCGACCUGAGAGGGUGAUCGGCCACAUUGGGACUGAGACACGGCCCAAACUCCUACGGGAGGCAGCAGUAGGGAAUCUUCGGCAAUGGACGAAAGUCUGACCGAGAAACGCCGCGUGAGUGAAGAAGGUUGUCGGAUCGUAAAACUCUGUUGGUAGGGAAGAACGUUGGUGAGAGUGGAAAGCUCAUCAAGUGACGGUAACUACCCAGAAAGGGACGGCUAACUACGUG
Molecule: ribosomal RNA, 497 nt
Filed under: uncultured bacterium
Lineage: Bacteria
Description: partial 16S ribosomal RNA
Rfam family: Bacterial small subunit ribosomal RNA
Source: RNAcentral